UGGGGAAUAUUGGACAAUGGGCGCAAGCCUGAUCCAGCCAUGCCGCGUGUGUGAAGAAGGCCUUAGGGUUGUAAAGCACUUUCAGUGGGGAGGAAGGGUGUUGUGUUAAUAGUACAGCACUUUGACGUUACCCACAGAAGAAGCACCGGCUAACUCCGUGCCAGCAGCCGCGGUAAUACGGAGGGUGCAAGCGUUAAUCGGAAUUACUGGGCGUAAAGCGCACGCAGGCGGCUUUUUAAGUCGGAUGUGAAAGCCCCGGGCUCAACCUGGGAAUUGCAUCUGAUACUGGGAAGCUAGAGUAUGUGAGAGGGGGGUAGAAUUCCAAGUGUAGCGGUGAAAUGCGUAGAGAUUUGGAGGAAUACCAGUGGCGAAGGCGGCCCCCUGGCACAAUACUGACGCU
This 400-nucleotide ribosomal RNA is filed under the name uncultured bacterium. RNAcentral describes it as "bacterial SSU rRNA". It matches the Rfam family "Bacterial small subunit ribosomal RNA", at positions 355 to 747 of the family's 1533-position model. The record is from RNAcentral.